CCCCAAUAUUCAUGCAAUAACCCUAUAAUAUAGAUCAUUUGUAUUAUAAUGAUUAUACACUCCAUCCUUACAUAAAAAUAUUACAGAUUUACUAUGCGACUAUAAGAGUUGUAUAAAAAAAGAGCAAAUAUGGUCAGUUUUGGUUGAUGUGGUCAAAUAUGGUCAGUUUUGGUUGAUGCUGUCAAAUGUGGUUAGUUGUGAUUGAUACAGACAAAUAAUUUUGUAACACGAGUCUGAGGUAUAAAAACUACUGAUAUUUUUUUUCUGAUUCGAUAUUUUGAAUAAAAAUAGGAAAUGCUGGCACCCUCAAUUAACAUGAUUAAUGCGAGAGAAAAAAAUUGUGUUCAUUGAUUUCCAAUAUUGCAGUAAAUUAUAUACUACAGUCC
This 386-nucleotide long non-coding RNA is filed under the name Mytilus galloprovincialis (Mediterranean mussel). Lineage: Eukaryota; Metazoa; Mollusca; Bivalvia; Mytilida; Mytilidae. The record is from RNAcentral.